Phascolarctos cinereus (koala) is the source of this 1222-nucleotide long non-coding RNA. RefSeq lists it as uncharacterized. Lineage: Eukaryota; Metazoa; Chordata; Mammalia; Diprotodontia; Phascolarctidae. The record is from RefSeq and is a predicted model, not a curated record.
AUCAAUAGAUGAAGACUUCUCCUUUUUGAAAAUCUUAACACCAGCCCAUCUCCAGUCCUGUAGCAACUCUUUGAUUCCGCAAAAAUCCUGAAGUAUCAACAACACUUGAGCAAUAACAUCCACAGAUUCUUCUUUCAUUCUCCUGGGAUGGAAUUCAUCCAGAACUUGGUCCCUUUUCAAUCUAAGCUCAUGAAUGUGUCAUGUGCAGCUGUCAUAUGGAAGAGUGAUUACUCUGGAGCCAAGCGGCCGGAACUGUCUCUGAACCAUUGUACAGAUGUCUUCACGGUCCCUCCCUCAAGAUUGUCAUGGAGAAUAGUAGGCUUAUGAAUUAAGGGCCUUCUGUAUGCAGCAAUAACGAUGCUGAUGUUGCAAGUGAAAGAUGCGAAUACUACCCUGUCUAGAAAUCUCUUCAACAACAUUCCCUCACAACGAGUCAUCAGUUAGGGACUGUCUUCACUGUGGUGAGUGGAAACAGAGCACAACUUUCCCACAACUACUCCAAUAAGGAAUUUUUUUUAAAAGAAUACUGGAAAGAGAAAUGAUAAAGAAGAAAUUAAAGAAGAAACUGCAUUGUGUCUUUUUCCAGCCCAGAUCCACACAAAGAGAUUGCCAGAAGCCUGUGAGUAUCCCUGUUCACCUAUUGUUGGUCCAGCCAGAAAAGCUCAACCGGGUAACAGUGCAUGAAAGCCCUUCAGCAUAGACCAGGAGUAAGGCAGGGGAAACAUUAAAGGCUGAAAAUGUGAACCUGGGACAGAGAGGCAGGAAUUUAGAGAAGCAUCUAGCCAAGAAUACUGGAAUUUUCCACUGUUGCUCUGAUCAUAGUCUGGAGUUCAGAAGCUUGAGUACUUGGGCCUGGAUGGCAACACUCUAGGACUUCCCUGGAUCAGAUUGUCCCAAUACAGUACGCUGGCAAUUGGCUCCUUGAGGUCCCAGAAGGACAAAGUACUCAUUGCAGGCCUCAGAUAAAUGCCAUGCUAUUUAUAUAAGCAAAACCUAAAAGACAACUAUAGAUUUGCCAUAAGCUCUACUAUAUUCCCAGAAAAAAAAAUGAAGAAGUUUAAAGUGAUCAAAUAAAAUGAUAGCUUUAGUGGAAAGAAGUAUAAAGGAAAUGAGAUCUAGAAGAAAGAAGUAGAAAGAAAAUAAACAGCUUAAUGCAGGAAGUGUAAACCUUACUUAAGUAACAGACCCCUUGGAAAUCAGAAUGGAUCAAUAUCAAUGACUC